GGGGAAUAUUGGACAAUGGGCGAAAGCCUGAUCCAGCAAUGCCGCGUGAGUGAUGAAGGCCUUAGGGUUGUAAAGCUCUUUUACCCGAGAUGAUAAUGACAGUAUCGGGAGAAUAAGCUCCGGCUAACUCCGUGCCAGCAGCCGCGGUAAUACGGAGGGAGCUAGCGUUGUUCGGAAUUACUGGGCGUAAAGCGCACGUAGGCGGCUUUUUAAGUCAGGGGUGAAAUCCCGGGGCUCAACCCCGGAACUGCCCUUGAAACUGGGAAGCUAGAAUCUUGGAGAGGCGAGUGGAAUUCCGAGUGUAGAGGUGAAAUUCGUAGAUAUUCGGAAGAACACCAGUGGCGAAGGCGACUCGCUGGACAAGUAUUGACGCUGAGGUGCGAAAGCGUGGGGAGCAAAC
Molecule: ribosomal RNA, 400 nt
Filed under: uncultured bacterium
Lineage: Bacteria
Description: bacterial SSU rRNA
Rfam family: Bacterial small subunit ribosomal RNA
Source: RNAcentral